Molecule: ribosomal RNA, 494 nt
Filed under: uncultured bacterium
Lineage: Bacteria
Description: partial 16S ribosomal RNA
Rfam family: Bacterial small subunit ribosomal RNA
Source: RNAcentral
GACGAACGCUGGCGGCGCGCUUAACACAUGCAAGUCGAACGGAAAGGCCUGCUUUCCCUUGUGGAUUGCGGGUACUCGAGUGGCGAACGGGUGAGUAACACGUGAGUGAUCUGCCCCCAACUUGGGUAUAAGCCUGGGAAACUGGGUCUAAUUCCCGAUAGGACUGCAGGGUGGUGCCUGUGGUGGAAAACGAUUUUCUAGUGGUUGGGGAUGAGCUCGCGGCCUAUCAGCUUGUUGGUGGGGUAAUGGCCUACAAAGGCGGCGACGGGUAGCCGGCCGGGGAGGGUGGACGGCCACAUUGGGACUGAGUUACGGCCCAGACUCCUACGGGAGGCAGCAGUGGGGAAUAUUGCACAAGGGGCGGAAGCCUGAUGCAGCGACGCCGCGUGGGGGAUGACGGCCUUCGGGUUGUAAACUCCUUUCGACCGCGAGGAAGCCACCUGGUUGGAAGGGUGGUGACGGUAGUGGUAGAAGAAGCACCGGCUAACUACGUG